Molecule: unclassified non-coding RNA, 13400 nt
Filed under: Pectinophora gossypiella (pink bollworm)
Lineage: Eukaryota; Metazoa; Arthropoda; Insecta; Lepidoptera; Gelechiidae
Description: fibrillin-1-like
Source: RNAcentral
CCAGACGAAGUGAACAUGUGGAAGGUUCUUCUUCUGACGGCCCUUGUGGCCAAUACGAUAUUGAUAGUGUCAUCAACUGGCACUCGCACUAAAAGCAUUUCAAAAAAAUCAAUUAGUUCAUCUUCCACGUCAUCUUCUAGUAGCACAUCAUCUUCCACCUACCAAAGCAGUAGCACCAGUAGUGACGGUAACAGUAAAAAUUCAACGAGCACUAAAAUAUAUAGCAACGAAAACAGUAACAGUUAUAACAGCAACAAAUAUAACAGUGACAGCGUCAGAAUCACUGGUGGCGGCAAAGAUUACUCAAAAUCUACUGUUAAUAGUGAAAACACUAGCAGUAAUAGCUAUGACAGUAACACCAGUACUGAAACAGAAUCAACUUCCACUGUUAAUGAUAAAGGAUGCAAAAAACCCGAAGAACCAAAAAAGAAAUGUCGAAAAAACGAAAGAUGGGAAAAAUGUCCCGCGGCAUUAUGUCAACCACAAAAUUGUACGGAAUUAGGAUUUCCCGUACCAUGCCCAACGCAAUCAAUAGAUGGUAAAUGUUCCGGAGACCCUGGAUGUAUCUGUAUCGAUGGAUACUUGAGGGACGAAAAUGGAAUCUGCAUACCUAAAAAAGAAUGUCCGUCAUGCGGCGGCGACCCCAAUGCAGAGUCUGGAUGUGGAGUUUGUGACGAACUUUGUUCUUGUAAACCUGUAAAGUGUCCUAAAAUUUGUAAACCGAACUCAUGUAAUUGCAAAAAGGGCUACAAACUUGAUGAAAACCUCCAGAGAUGUGUCCUUCCUGAAGACUGCACACCUACAUGUGGACCUGAUGAAGUUUUCGAUAGCUGCUACAAUGGAGGCUGCCAUAGUGGUAGGACCUGCGACGACUUAGAUCGCCUCAACGGAAGUACCAUUUGCAUCCGCCCGUCCAAAUGUAUAGCUGGUUGUUUAUGUAAACCGGGAUAUUUAAGAAACGACGAUGGUGACUGCGUUCCAGAAAACGAAUGUCCAAAUAGUAAAUGCAAGAAUGCUAAUGAAAAAUAUUCCAACUGUCCUGACUGGGUGUGUUCGCCAAAGACAUGUGAUCAUCUAGGGUACCCGAUAGAAUGCCCAGAUCAAGGCCCAGAUGACCAAUGUCCUGGAAAACCAGGAUGCAUUUGUACCGAAGGAUAUGUAAGAAACAGCGAUGGCGUAUGCAUACCUCAGAAGGAAUGCCCAUCAUGUGGUGGAGAUCCAAAUGCCGAGUCAGGUUGUGGAAUGCUCUGUGUGAAGAAGUGCUCGAACUAUUGGAAAGACAAUUUAGUUUGUCCAUUAAUAUGUGAAAUAAACGGGUGUACUUGUAAAGAGGGACUCGUUUAUGAUGAAAACAUAAAAAAGUGUGUCAAUUACUGGGAGUGCACUCAAGUGUGUGGUCAAAAUGAGGAAUACUCGAAUUGCACUAACGGUGGAUGCCAUGGAGCUCAGUACUGUUCUGACGACAUAAACAAGCCUGUAAAGUGUGUAAAACCUAAAGAAUGCAAGAAAGGUUGCGUAUGCCAAAAAGGCUUUCUAAGAAACCAAAAUGGUGUAUGUGUAGCACAAGAAGAAUGCCUUGACAAUGAGCAAUGCAAAGGAGCUAAUCAGUUCUAUGACACUUGUCCUCCCAACUGUGUACCAGAAACUUGCGAAAGUAUUGACACGGUCAUAGAUUGUCCAAUACAACCCGCCGUUUGCCGGCCAAGAUGUCGCUGUGCCAAGGGAUAUUACAAAGACAGUAACGGGAAAUGUAUUCUCGAAAAAUAUUGUCCCAAACCCUGCCCUGAAAACGAACAUUGGGAUGGCUGUGCUAAUGGUGGAUGUUAUGGACCCAGAAAUUGUUCCCAAAUUGGCGAGCCAACCAUUUGUGUUGACUUAAUCGAAGGCGCCUGUAAAGGCGGCUGUCUGUGUAAUGACACAUAUUUGAGAAACGAUGAAGGCGUUUGUGUUCCAGAAAAGGAAUGUCCAAAUAACAAAUGUGGCAAAAACGAAAGAUGGGAAAAAUGUCCCGCGGUAUUAUGUCAACCACAAAAUUGUACGCAAUUAGGAUUCCCUGUACCAUGCCCAACCCAAUCGAUAGAUGGUAAAUGUUCCGGAGAUCCUGGAUGUAUCUGCAUUGAUGGAUACUUAAGAGACGAAAAUGGAGUCUGCAUACCGAAAAAAGAAUGUCCAUCAUGUCGUGGAGAUCCAAACGCUGAGGCUGGUUGUGGAAUGCUCUGUGUCAAAAAGUGCUCGAACUACUGGAAAGACCAUUUAGUUUGCCCAAAAAUAUGUGAAGUAAACAGCUGUACUUGUAAAGAGGGACUCGUUUAUGACGAGAAUACUAAAAAAUGCGUCAACUAUUGGGAGUGCACUAAAGUAUGCGGUCAAAACGAGGAAUACUCGGAAUGUGCUAACGGCGGGUGUCAUGGAGCCCAGGACUGUUCCGACGACAUAGACAAGCCUGUAAAGUGUGUGAAACCUAAAGAAUGCAAGAAAGGUUGCGUAUGUCAAAAAGGCUUUUUGAGAAACAAAAAUGGUGUAUGUGUAGCACAAGAAGAAUGUCCUGACAAUGAGCAAUGCAAAGGAGAUAAUGAGUUCUAUGACACUUGUCCACCGAACUGUGAACCUGAAACUUGUGAUAGUAUUGACACAGUGAUAGACUGCCCACCACAACCCGCUGUCUGCAGACCAAGAUGCCGGUGUGCCAAAGGAUAUUACAGAAAUAAAGACGGAAAAUGUAUUCUUGAAAAAUAUUGCCCCAAACCUUGUCCUAAAAACGAACAUUGGGAUGGUUGUGCUAAUGGUGGAUGCUAUGGACCUAGAAAUUGUUCCCAAAUUGGCGGGCCAACCAUUUGUGUUGACUUAAUCGAAGGCGCCUGUAAAGGAGGUUGUCUCUGUGAUGACAAGUAUUUGAGAAAUGAUGAAGGAGUUUGUGUUCCUGAAAAUGAAUGCCAAGCUACAUGUGGACCCGAUGAAGUCUUUGAUAGCUGCGUCAACGGAGGUUGCCAUAGUGGCAGGACCUGUGAAGAGGCGGACCGUCUCAAUGGUACCAUUUGCAUCAAACCCAAAAAAUGUAAACCAGGUUGUUUAUGUAAACCGGGAUACUUGAGAAACGACCAGAAUGACUGCAUUCCAGAAAACGAAUGUCCAAGUCGCAAAUGCAAGAAUGAUAAUGAAAUAUAUUCCAAAUGUCCUGCUUGGGCAUGUUCACCAAAAACAUGCGAUGAACUUGGUUACCCGAUACCUUGUCCAGAUCCAGGUCCAGAUGGAAAAUGUCCUGUAAAACCGGGAUGUAUUUGCGCUGAUGGAUUUAUAAGAAACAGUAAAGGAGUAUGCAUACCUAAAAAGGAAUGCCCGUCUUGUGGUGGUGAUCCAAAUGCACAAUCUGGAUGUGGAGUCUGUGAUGACCUCUGUUCUGGUAAAAUUGUGCCAUGUCCAAGAAUAUGUUUACCGAAUUCGUGCAAUUGCAGAAAAGACUACAAAUUGGAUGAAAACCUUAAGAAAUGUGUUCUCCCUAAAGAUUGCACGCCCACGUGUGGCUCUGACGAAGUCUUCGAUACUUGCAUCAACGGAGGCUGUCAUAGCGGUAGGACCUGUGAAGAAGCGGACCGUCUCAAUGGUAGUACCAUUUGCAUCAAACCCAAAAAAUGUAAACCUGGUUGUUUAUGUAAACCGGGAUACUUGAGAAACGACCAAGGUGACUGCAUUCCAGAGAACGAAUGUCCAAGUCGUAAAUGCAAGAAUGAUAAUGAAAUAUAUUCCAAAUGUCCUCCCUGGGUAUGUUCGCCAAAGACAUGCGAUGAUCUUGGUUACCCGGUAGCUUGCCCAGAUCCUGGUAUAGAUGGAAAAUGUCCUGAGAAACCAGGAUGCAUUUGUGCCGAAGGAUAUGUAAAGGACAGCGAAGGAGUAUGCAUACCUCAGAAGGAAUGCCCAUCAUGUGGUGGAGAUCCAAAUGCUGAGUCAGGUUGUGGAAUGCUCUGUGUGAAGAAGUGUUCGAACUAUUGGAGAGACGAUGUAGUUUGUCCUGAAAUAUGCGAAUAUAAUUCUUGUAGUUGUAAAGACGGAUUUGUUUAUGACGAGAAUACUGGCAAGUGCGUGAACUUCUGGGAGUGCACUAAAGUUUGCGGUCAAAAUGAGAAGUAUUCGUCGUGCAUUAACGAUGGUAGCCAUGGACCUCAGGACUGUUCUGACGACAUAGACAAGCCUGUAAAAUGUGUAAAACCUAAAAAAUGCAAGAAAGGUUGCGUAUGUCAAAAAGGCUUUUUAAGAAACAAAAAUGGUGUAUGUGUAGCACAAGAAGAAUGUCCUAACAAUGAGCAAUGCAAAGGAGAUAAUGAGUUCUAUGACACUUGUCCACCGAACUGUGAACCUGAAACUUGUGAUAGUAUUGACACAGUGAUAGACUGCCCACCACAACCCGCUGUCUGCAGACCAAGAUGCCGGUGUGCCAAAGGAUAUUACAGAAAUAAAGACGGAAAAUGUAUUCUUGAAAAAUAUUGCCCCAAACCUUGUCCUAAAAACGAACAUUGGGAUGGUUGUGCUAAUGGUGGAUGCUAUGGACCUAGAAAUUGUUCCCAAAUUGGCGGGCCAACCAUUUGUGUUGACUUAAUCGAAGGCGCCUGUAAAGGAGGUUGUCUCUGUGAUGACAAGUAUUUGAGAAAUGAUGAAGGAGUUUGUGUUCCUGAAAAUGAAUGCCAAGCUACAUGUGGACCCGAUGAAGUCUUUGAUAGCUGCGUCAACGGAGGUUGCCAUAGUGGCAGGACCUGUGAAGAGGCGGACCGUCUCAAUGGUACCAUUUGCAUCAAACCCAAAAAAUGUAAACCAGGUUGUUUAUGUAAACCGGGAUACUUGAGAAACGACCAGAAUGACUGCAUUCCAGAAAACGAAUGUCCAAGUCGCAAAUGCAAGAAUGAUAAUGAAAUAUAUUCCAAAUGUCCUGCUUGGGCAUGUUCACCAAAAACAUGCGAUGAACUUGGUUACCCGAUACCUUGUCCAGAUCCAGGUCCAGAUGGAAAAUGUCCUGUAAAACCGGGAUGUAUUUGCGCUGAUGGAUUUAUAAGAAACAGUAAAGGAGUAUGCAUACCUAAAAAGGAAUGCCCGUCUUGUGGUGGUGAUCCAAAUGCACAAUCUGGAUGUGGAGUCUGUGAUGACCUCUGUUCUGGUAAAAUUGUGCCGUGUCCAAGAAUAUGUUUACCGAAUUCGUGCAAUUGCAGAAAAGGCUACAAAUUGGAUGAAAACCUUAAGAAAUGUGUUCUCCCUAAAGAUUGCACGCCCACGUGUGGCUCUGAUGAAGUCUUCGAUACUUGCAUCAACGGAGGCUGUCAUAGCGGUAGGACCUGUGAAGAAGCGGACCGUCUCAAUCGUAGUACCAUUUGCAUCAAACCCAAAAAAUGUAAACCUGGUUGUUUAUGUAAACCGGGAUACUUGAGAAACGACCAAGGUGACUGCAUUCCAGAGAACGAAUGUCCAAGUCGUAAAUGCAAGAAUGAUAAUGAAAUAUAUUCCAAAUGUCCUCCCUGGGUAUGUUCGCCAAAGACAUGCGAUGAUCUUGGUUACCCGGUAGCUUGCCCAGAUCCUGGUAUAGAUGGAAAAUGUCCUGAGAAACCAGGAUGCAUUUGUGCUGAAGGAUAUGUAAAGGACAGCGAAGGAGUAUGCAUACCUCAGAAGGAAUGCCCAUCAUGUGGUGGAGAUCCAAAUGCUGAGUCAGGUUGUGGAAUGCUCUGUGUGAAGAAGUGUUCGAACUAUUGGAGAGACGAUGUAGUUUGUCCUGAAAUAUGCGAAUAUAAUUCUUGUAGUUGUAAAGAAGGAUUUGUUUAUGACGAGAAUACUGGCAAAUGCGUGAACUUCUGGGAGUGCACUAAAGUUUGCGGUCAAAAUGAGAAGUAUUCGUCGUGCAUUAACGAUGGUAGCCAUGGACCUCAGGACUGUUCUGACGACAUAGACAAGCCUGUAAAAUGUGUAAAACCUAAAAAAUGCAAGAAAGGUUGCGUAUGUCAAAAAGGCUUUUUAAGAAACAAAAAUGGUGUAUGUGUAGCACAAGAAGAAUGUCCUAACAAUGAGAAAUGCAAGGGCGAUAAUGAGUUCUACGACUAUUGUCCUCCUAGCUGUGCUCCUGAAACUUGUGAUAGUAUUGACACAGUGAUAGAUUGCCCACCACAGGCAACUGUCUGCCGACCAAGAUGCCGUUGCGCCAAAGGAUAUUACAGAAAUAAAGACGGGAAAUGUAUUCUUGAAAAAUAUUGUCCAAAAUCCUGCCCCAAAAAUGAACAUUGGGAUAGCUGUUCUAAUGGUGGAUGUUAUGGACCUAGAAAUUGUUCCCAAAUUGGGGGCCCAACUAUUUGUGUAAAGUUAGUCGAAGGUGCCUGUAAAGGAGGUUGUCUGUGUGAUGACAAAUAUCUGAGAAACGACGAAGGAGUUUGUAUCCCAGAAAACGAAUGUCCAGAUAACAAUCAAAAAUGCAAAGAAAACGAAGUGUAUGAUCCAUGUCCUGCUAAAUGCCCAGCUAGAACUUGUGGUAUUGAUGACCGUGUAGCGUUAUGUUCAAAACAACCAGUAGCUGGGGACCCUGAAUGUCCCGCACCAGCUUGUAGAUGCAAAGACGGUUACUAUAAAAACCCUGACGGAGAUUGCGUCAAAUGGGACGAUUGUCCUCCCACUGUAACAUGCAAAGUAAACGAAGUGUACGAUGAAUGUCCUGGAAAGUGUCCACCUAGAGUCUGCGGUAUCGAUGAUCGAUUGAUUGACUGUGCUCCACAACCUGUGAAAGGAGACUCUGAUUGCCCUCCACCAGCUUGUAGAUGCCAAAACGGGUUCUAUAAAAACCCUAACGGAGAUUGUGUCAAAUGGGAAGACUGUCCAACAUGCAAUAAUACACACGAAGUAUACGACCCGUGCCCAGCCCCUUGUCCUCCUCAGAGGUGUGACGUAGACCCGGCAGUGAUCCUUUGUUUAGUUCCUCCACAAGUCGGAGAUCCCGAAUGUGCGCCUGGCUGUCGAUGCGAAGAUGGUUACGUUAGGAAUGCCAAUGGAGUCUGUAUUAAGCGAGAAGAUUGUCCUAAAUGUACCAGAGAAAAUGAAGAAUGGGAUCCUUGCCCAGACCCGUGUCCACCACAAGAAUGUGAGAGUAUUGGACGAAGAUACAAUUGCCCCAAUAAACGUAAAAUGAUCUGCAAAGGUCAAUGCAGAUGUAAAGCUGGUUAUUUCAGAAAUAAAAUAGGCGAAUGCAUAUCAAAAGAAAAUUGUCUGAAAUGCAAAGGACCUAAUGAAUACUACAGUUGUGGCGGUGCAUGUGACAACGUGUGCUCAAAUUACGGUCAGCAGAACCAAGAAAACUGCCCUAUUGUAAACAUCAAAUGUAACGAAAUGUGCUACUGUGAAAAAGACUACGCAAGAGCUAAUAAUGGAACUUGCGUUCCUAUCGAGUCUUGUAGACGUUGCAAAGGAGCUCAUGAAUAUUACGACGAAUGUCCUCCACAAUGUUACCAAGAAUCCUGCGACUCAGUGGGAAGAUUCUACGACUGUGCACUUCUACCUGGAAAACCACGCUGCAAACCUGCUUGCCGUUGUGAAGAUGGUUACUUCAGAGAUAGCGACGGAGAAUGCGUGCCUAAGAAAGACUGCCCUUGCAACGGUGACCCUAAUGCCACAUCUGGUUGUGGAAAGAACUGCGGCAGACUGUGCUCGAACUACAAUAGUACCGAACCUAUUGCUUGCACUAAAGAAUGCAAAAUAAAUGGCUGCGACUGUAGAGAGGGAUAUGUCCUGGAUGAAAAUACUGACAAAUGUGUUCUUCCCGAACAAUGUACUCCACAAUGCAAAAAACCAAACGAAGUGUAUGACGUAUGCCCAGCUACAUGCCCUGGUCAGAGAUGUGGUGUAGAUACUCGUCUAAUCAAAUGUGCUGCUCCUCCAAAACCUGGCGAUCCUCGUUGCAAACCCAACUGUGUAUGCAAAAGUGGAUACUUUAGGAAUUUAAAAGGCGAAUGCGUUCUCAAAAAAGACUGCCCCUGCAAGGGUGACCCUAAUGCCAGAUCUGGCUGUGGAAAGAACUGCGGUAGACUCUGCUCCAACUACAAUAGCACAAAACCAGUCAUCUGCACCAAAGAAUGCAAAAUAGGAGGCUGCGACUGUAUAAAAGGAUAUGUCUUAGAUGAAAACACCGGAAAAUGUGUUCUACCUGAACAGUGUACUCCGCAAUGUAAAAAUCCAAACGAAAAAUACGAUAUCUGCCCAGCACCAUGCCCUGGUCAGAGGUGUGAUAUAGAUACGCGUCUGAUCAAAUGUGCUGCUCCUCCAAAACCCGGCGAUCCUAAUUGCGAACCCAGUUGCGUAUGUAAAGAUGGAUACCGCAGAAACGAUAAAGGAAAAUGCAUACCCGAAGAAGACUGUCCAUGCAAAGGUGACCCUAAUGCUACAUCAGCUGGUUGUGGAGGCAACUGCGGCAGACUGUGCUCCAACUACAAUAGCACUAACCCCGUCGCCUGCACUCUAGAAUGCAGAAUAGGAGAAUGCUCGUGUAGAAAAGGAUACGUCCUAGACGAAAAUACUGGAAAAUGUGUACUACCUGAAGAUUGUACACCACAAUGUAAAAAGCCAAACGAAGAAUAUAAUGUAUGCCCAGCGCCGUGCCCUGGAGAAAGUUGUGACGUAAACCGGGCUGUGAUCAAAUGUGCUGCUCCUCCAAAACCCGGCGAUCCCGAUUGUGAACCCCGUUGUGUAUGCAAAGAUGGAUACCGCAGAAACAGAAAUGGAGAUUGCGUGCUUGAAGAAGACUGCCCUUGCAAAGGUGACCCUAAUGCAGUGUCUCGUUGUGGAAACAACUGCGGCAGACUGUGCUCCAACUACAACAGCACCGACCCCAUCGCCUGCACUUUAGAAUGCAGAAUAGGAGAAUGCGAAUGUAGAAAAGGAUACGUCCUAGAUGAAAACACUGGAAAAUGUGUACUACCUGAAGAUUGUACUCCACAAUGUAAAAAGCCGAACGAAGAAUAUAAUGUAUGCCCAGCGCCAUGCCCUGGUGAAAGUUGUGACGUAAACCGGGCUGUGAUCAGAUGUGCUGCUCCUCCAAAACCUGGCGAUCCCGAUUGUGAACCCCGUUGUGUAUGCAAAGAUGGAUACCGCAGAAACAGAAAUGGAGAUUGCGUGCUUGAAGAAGACUGCCCUUGCAAAGGUGACCCUAAUGCAGUGUCUCGUUGUGGAAAUAACUGCGGAAGACUGUGCUCCAACUACAAUAGCACCGACCCCAUCGCCUGCACUCUAGAAUGCAGAAUAGGAGAAUGCGAAUGUAGAAAAGGAUACGUCCUAGAUGAAAACACUGGAAAAUGUGUACUACCUAAAGAUUGUACUCCUAAAUGUAAACGUCAAAACGAAGAAUGGGAUCCUUGCCCUGACACGUGCUCACCACAAACUUGCGAUAGCAUAGGACAAAAAAUCCACUGUCCCCUUAAACCCGUCGAUGACAAGAACUGCAAAGGUCAAUGCAGAUGCAAGCCUGGAUUUUAUAGAAAUAAAUUAGGGGAAUGUAUAUCUAAAGAAAAUUGCUUGAAAUGCAAGGGACCACAUGAAUACUACAGUUGUGGCGGCGCUUGUGACAACGUGUGCGCUACUUUGAACAAACAGAAUCAAACAAAUUGUCCUAUUAUAAACAUUAAAUGUAACGAAAUGUGCUACUGUGAAAAAGACUAUGCUAGAAACGAUAAUGGAACUUGUAUUCCCAUUAAAUCAUGUCCACCAAAAUGCAACGGGCCUAACGAAUAUUUCAGUUGUGGUAGCGCUUGUGAUAAUGUAUGUGCAACUUUAAGUCAGCAGAAUCAAACAAAUUGCCCUAUCAUAAACAAAAAAUGUAACGAAAUGUGCUACUGUGACGAAGGCUAUGCUAGAAAUGAUAAAGGAAUUUGUAUCCCCAUCGAAUCUUGUCCACCACGAAAAUGUAAAAAGCCAAACGAAGUAUAUAAUGAAUGCCCAGCCCCAUGCCCCGGUGAUAGUUGUGAUGUAGAUCCAACUGUGAUCAGAUGCGCGGCUCCUCCAGAACCUGGCGACCCUGAUUGUAAACCUGGUUGCAUAUGCAGAGAUGGAUACCGCAGAAACAGAAAAGGAGACUGCGUGCGUGAAAAAGAUUGCCCUAAAUGUUACGGAGAAAACGAAGUAUGGGAUCCCUGCCCUGACACCUGCUCACCACAAAACUGCGAUAGUAUUGGGCGAAAAAUUAAUUGUCCGCUUAAAUCCGCCGACCACAAGAGCUGCAAAGGUCAAUGCAGAUGCAAGCCUGGAUUUUACAGAAAUAAGUUGGGUCAAUGUAUAUCUAAAGAAAAUUGCUUGAAAUGCACCGGACCAAAUGAAUACUACAGUUGCGGCGGUGCUUGUGACAACGUGUGCGCAACUUUAAGCCAACAGAAUCAAACAAAUUGCCCUAUCGUAAACAUCAAAUGUAACGAAAUGUGCUACUGUGACGAAGGCUAUGCUAGAAAUGAUAAAGGAAUUUGUAUCCCCAUCGAAUCUUGUCCACCACGAAAAUGUAAAAAGCCAAACGAAGUAUACAAUGAAUGCCCAGCCCCAUGCCCCGGUGAUAGUUGUGAUGUAGAUCCAACUGUGAUCAGAUGCGCGGCUCCUCCAGAACCUGGCGACCCUGAUUGUAAACCUGGUUGCAUAUGCAGAGAUGGAUACCGCAGAAACAGAAAAGGAGACUGCGUGCGCGAAAAAGAUUGCCCUAAAUGUUACGGAGAAAACGAAGUAUGGGAUCCCUGCCCUGACACCUGCUCACCACAAAACUGCGAUAGUAUUGGGCGAAAAAUUAAUUGUCCGCUUAAAUCCGCCGACCACAAGAGCUGCAAAGGUCAAUGCAGAUGCAAGCCUGGAUUUUACAGAAAUAAGUUGGGUCAAUGUAUAUCUAAAGAAAAUUGCUUGAAAUGCACCGGACCAAAUGAAUACUACAGUUGCGGCGGUGCUUGUGACAACGUGUGCGCAACUUUAAGCCAACAGAAUCAAACAAAUUGCCCUAUCGUAAACAUCAAAUGUAACGAAAUGUGCUACUGUGACGAAGGCUACGCUAGAGAUACUAAAGGAAUUUGUGUUCCCAUCGAAUCUUGUCGAAGAUGCCGGGGAGCUCAUGAGUAUUACGACGAAAAUGCACCACAAUGUUUGGAAGAAACUUGCGACGUAGUAGGAAGAGGCAGCAGUUGUCCACCUGACGAUGGAACGCAAAGGUGCAAACCAAUUUGCCGCUGCGAAGAUGGUUACUAUAGGGACUGUGACGGAGUGUGCAUUCCUAAAAAAGACUGUCCAUGCCGUGGUGACCCCAACGCUACUGCCGGUUGUGGAGUGAACUGUGGUAGACUUUGUUCAAACUAUAACACUUCAGUAAGUUGUAUAGCAAUUUGCUACAUUAACGGAUGCGACUGCAGGGACGGAUACGUACUCGACGACUAUUUGCAGAAAUGCGUUAAACCCGAGGAUUGUUUAUGUCCACUACACGAACGAUACUCCUCGUGCAUCCAAGCCGAAACUCGACCCUUAACUUGUGAUGAAAGAGACAAAAAUCUGCCGUGCCCAAGAGUAGUCCAUAAACGCUGCAGAAAAGGCUGCGUGUGCGCUGAAGGUUACUUACGUAAUAAAGAUGAAAAAUGUGUACCAGUUGCUGAAUGCCCAUGCCCUGGUAACGGCAUAUGGAACACAUGCCCACCACAACCGUGCGAUGCUGAAAACUGUCCUAAAUCAAGAGACGACCCCCAAGCUUGUGCCUCGCCUAAAAACUGUGGAGAGCCCAGAUGCACGUGUGGCUUUAAUCAAAAACGUGACCGCAAAACUGGAAAUUGUAUCGCCAUUGCAGACUGCCCACCAUUCAAAUGCGACGGUCCUAACGAAGAAUACCAGCCAUGUCCACCAGGGUGUCCUGGCGAACAAUGUAAAGAUUAUCUGAAUAACUCGACUUGUCCAAAAUACCAUAUCGGCAUCGUAGUUCCUUGCCAUCCGCAAUGCAAAUGUAAGAAGAACUUCUGGAGAAAUUCUAAAGGAAUCUGCGUUGAAAGUCGUGAAUGCGUCAAAGAAGCUAACAAUAAUAGCACCAACGCUGAAGUGGUACGGCUAUUGACAAAAGGAGUCAAUGACUUCGCUUUUAAAUUUUUGCAGUAUGUGCUCAAGACCAACAAAGGACAAAAUGUCAUCAUGUCACCAUACUCCGCUCAGCUUGCUCUAUCUCAACUAGGCCCUUACACAAAAGGCGAAUCCCUGAAUCAACUAUUAGACGCAUUUGGCCUUGAGAACAAGGAUCAGAUUGCGCAAGGUUUCCAGGAAUUGGUAAAAACUUUAAUUGGUGGUAAUGGAGUAACAUUCACUCAGAAUGUGAAAUCUUACGCAAACGACAAAUAUCCUCUUAGUGAUAAUUUCCUGCAGUACACUAAAGAUGUAUUCAAUGCAACAGCUGAGAAUAUUGACUGUAGUAACCCCGAGAAAGCUGCUGCUACUAUCAAUAAAUGGGUGGAAGAUAACACAAACAAUCUUAUCAAGAAUCUGAUACCCAAAGACGUAAUAAACAAUUUGGUCCGCAUGAUUUUGGUUAACGCCAUAUAUUUCAAGGGAACGUGGAAAAAAGAAUUCAACAAGAACAAUACCGAAGACAGAGAUUUCUACGUAAACAAGGAUACAGUCAAGAAAGUACCAACUAUGUAUCAACAAGCUAAGCUAAAUUAUACAUACAGUGAGGAACUUAAUGCUCAAGUUCUUGAACUUAGAUACGUAAACGAAAACUUCAGAUUCAUAAUAGUCUUACCGUCUGAGAUCGAAGGUUUACAAGAUGUUGCGUCUAAACUCAACGCUGAUUCUAUAAAAAAGGCAUUGGACAGUAUGACAACUCAAGAUGUCAAAGUUUGGUUGCCAUCCUUCAAGAUAGAAACCAGCCUUGAUUUAAAGGAAGUCCUUCAAGGCAUCGACGUCACGGACAUAUUUAUUCCUGGUAAAUCAGGAAUUGAAGGAGUUUUGAAGAAAGACGAAGAUUUGUAUGUAUCAUCUGCUGUUCACAAAGCUGUAAUCGAGGUGAACGAGGAAGGAUCGGAGGCCGCUGCAGCUACAGCACUCGUCGUUACAACCCUCAGUCUAGAAAUUUCGACGGAAGUCGUCGCUAAUUAUCCAUUUGCGUUCUCGAUAAUGGAAGGCGACAAUAUUAUAUUUUGUGGAGCCUUUACUGGCAACUAAGGUGUCGUCGUGAUUACUAAAAGCGCACCACCAAAGCCUUUGGAAUUUAUAGUUAAUCAUUCAUUCAUUUUCGUUGUUAUGGAUGAAUCCUCAAUCUUAUUCUGCGGAUCAGUAAAUAAUUGAGGUCUUCCAACAGCGAAUGAUCCGUUUUCAAAAAAUAUUUUGUUGUUCUCGCCGCUUAUUUAUUUAUCAUGUUAUUUAAAAGAUUUUCAAAAUAUAUAUUAUUUUAUAUU